CCAUAGUCCGGCACUUCGGCUGAAACCUGAGCCUGGUGUCCCCUCUCUCCCUCCUUGGUUAUCUACUCCACAGCUUUGAGAGAGCCAACAGGAUAUUUAAUACCAAGCCAUCUCCGGAAAGCAAAUGACUGCUGCCAAGCGCAGGGAGGGGGUCAGAGCUGCAGGUACCACCUCAUGAACAGCAGAGGAAAAGCAGCCCUACAGAUAUGCCCAGGAGCCUGGCAACUCACAGGUAACUCCUGCCACAGAGGAGAGGGUUGGGGGUUCCCUCCUGACUUUCUGGAUGCUGGGGCCCAGGCCUUGGAAAACAUGUCAAGGCUGGAAUGUGUCAGAGGUGCUGUCCUUUUGCUCCCCAUGCUCAGCAUGUACCUUCCAGAGAUGCACAGAGAGAUACAGGGCAUCAGCAAUCUGACCACACAUUCCACCAGAGAAGAUGGAGUAGCUCCCCUCAAACGGUAAAAGCAGAUCCACAGUCACACUGUCCUUCUGAUGUCAGGCUGCACAAUGGGAAUGCUUGCCUAUUGCUCAGGGCAACUCGCUUCCCAGGAAAUGGAAGCACGGGCUGGGUCACUGCCGUGUCCUGAAUUUCAGCAAAAGGGAGCACUGACAGCAAGAAAUGCAGAGAUCCCAUGAACACAAGUAGAUGUGCACAUGGAGAAGAGACACACACAUAUCCCAGUCAGCACCAUCCCAACUCCUCACCCAGCCACCGACACACGCAUUGCACUGUUUUCACCACCCACGAACAAGCGCACACAAAGCGCAGCACAGCCGUGCUGCAUGUACACGCAGUCACUCACUGUGUGCCCCAGAACAUACAGCAACUGCUUCCAGAUGCAGAAACUGUCCCUGCUGAUUUUCCUUUAUUUGGAGUUUGCAGAGUUUUUUUCCAUUCUCCUUUGCCUUCCUAGUAAUUUUCCAGGAAGGAGAUAUUCUGGAGGAGAAAAUAAGCUGCCUUACUUGCUGCUGUGUACCUCUUGCACUCUUAGGUGGCUGCUAAAUCCUAUACACAGGCAUCAUGCUCUACAGACUUGCAGACAUCCAAGCUGUGAAGUGUCAGGAGUCUGCUGCCAGCAAUUCUGCAAGAGAGAAGCCUCAGAUCUGGACUUCGUUAAGUGCUUCAAGACCUUCUAAAGUCAAAAACAUAGCACAGUACAUCAGACUGUGCUUUUACUCCCCUUUCUUUUUCUUCAGGAAAAUAAAAUCUCCCCUAGUCUGCUGACAAUC
Non-coding RNA from Cyanistes caeruleus (blue tit), 1227 nucleotides. The record is from RefSeq and is a predicted model, not a curated record. Lineage: Eukaryota; Metazoa; Chordata; Aves; Passeriformes; Paridae.